GACAGAGGGCGCGAACGUUGCUCGAUGUUACUGGGCCUAAAGGGCACGUAGGCGGCCCGAUUAGUGGGGGGUGAAAUCCCUCGGCUUAACCGAGGAAUUGCUCUCCAUACGGUCGGGCUUGAGGACCGGAGAGGGAAGCGGAACGCUACGUGUAGCGGUGAAAUGCGUUGAUACGUAGUGGAACGCCAGCGGCGAAGGCGGCUUCCUGGUCGGUUUCUGACGCUGAGGUGCGAAAGCGUGGGGAGCGAACGGGAUUAGAUACCCCCGUA
RNAcentral lists this ribosomal RNA (269 nucleotides) under uncultured prokaryote. RNAcentral describes it as "partial 16S ribosomal RNA". It matches the Rfam family "Bacterial small subunit ribosomal RNA", at positions 524 to 792 of the family's 1533-position model. The record is from RNAcentral.